AGGAGGAAAUCCUAUGUGUCUGCUCCCAGAGCUGCCACAACCCAUCUUCCCACAACUCGGAACUUGGAAAAAGGAACCCAGGACACGACUUUGCUUUUCUUUUGGACCUAGUUGAAGUCACAGCUUGGAGGAAACCAGUUUGCACUAUUUGAUGAGGAAUUUGGCCACCAAACCACUGAUACUUUCCCAAAGAUACAAGUUAACAGGAUAUGCUUCUGGCGUGUUUCUGGAUUCUAAGGGUAGAACCAGCAUGAAACUAGUCAGUCCAAGUAUUUCUAAAGAUCCACAGACACAGUUCUCCUAGAUUUGGGAAGCCUAGAGAUAUUAGCACAAUAAUUAUGGCCCAACAACUUUUAAAAGCAUUUCCAUUGCACAGUGAAAGAAAACCACAAACUCCUUGUUUAAUAACUCGGAUCAUGUGCUUUUAACGAGAGGAAAAGGUCAAGUCUGAAGCAACUGAUAUGGAACUGCCAGAGUAGGAGUUGAAAAUAUUCCUAAACUGCUGGAGGAUACACCUCUGAUAGCUUGAGACAAAUAUCCUCUUGAUUAUUGUUUCACCAUAUUUGUCUUUGCUCACAGAGAACCAUUUUGACCUGUGGUUUAGCCUCCCAGGUGAUUGAACAAUAGCGGUGAUCUGAGGCAGACCCUCUGUGACGGAUAAC
This 662-nucleotide long non-coding RNA is filed under the name Pongo abelii (Sumatran orangutan). RNAcentral's name for it is "lincRNA". Lineage: Eukaryota; Metazoa; Chordata; Mammalia; Primates; Hominidae. The record is from RNAcentral.